RNAcentral lists this long non-coding RNA (1425 nucleotides) under Musa acuminata (dwarf banana). RNAcentral describes it as "long non-coding RNA (MACU_LNC007121)". Lineage: Eukaryota; Viridiplantae; Streptophyta; Magnoliopsida; Zingiberales; Musaceae. The record is from RNAcentral.
AAGAGGGAAUUAGAGUUUUUGGGAAAAAGAUAGUUUUGCCCCUGUGAAUUUGAGAAAUUCCAGUUUCUGUCUUUUGUCAAAAUUACGAAAAUACCCUUAGGAAUUGAGAAAUUCCCUAUAUAUCCCUGAUUUCAGAAAAUAUUAAUUAAUUAAAAGGUUUAGUUGAUUAUUAUUUUUUAUUAUUAUCUAGUAGUCCUACAUGAUGAUGAUUAUUUAUACAUGUGAUGUAUGAUGUGUGGACAGAUGAUCAUGGACCGUGUGAUGUGUGUAUUUGUGAUUAUUAUUAUUGAGGUAUGCGAACCUCCAUUAUAUUUCUCGUUUAUUGUUGGGCCUGCGUGCCUAUGAUUAAGUUGUAAUCACAUGAGGAGGCGCAGCGGGAGCGUGGAUGCGAUAGCGGGACCCACGAGACGGACGAUCGUGAUGCAUGGAGAUGCAUCAAGAUGUCGACGAAACUGACGAGGACGAGAUGGACGAUCAUAGGGCAUGGAGAUGCACCGUUGCACACAUAGAUCUUGAUGUGAGUGAUUAGGCCUACUGACUCGGGCCUAAUCAUAUUAGGUUGUGGUCCAUGAUCAUCUGGUGUGAUUGCUUAUAUACAUACUAGAAAUGUAUAUAUAUUUGCAUGCGAUGUAGAUAUAUAUUAAAUAUGUAUAUGUGUGACAUGUCAUAUUAGGAGACCUAAUCAUAGAAACAUCUCUCGAUAAUAUUAAGUCGGUAAACGUGAGGCAAUUAGAUUGACCCACGUGGCCUUCCAUCGUUAUGAGUAGGAACCGAUUCCCGGUGUAGGUUGAGUUGGUCGAGUCCCUCGAGACUCACCUAUAUCGCGAUUCGCUAUCUUGCUUACGACAUAGAGAUGUCACCGGUGACCUGAGGGCAUGGUAUACUUGGUCGAGUCCCUCGAGGGUAUAUCAUCAAAUCAGAGUCAUCUUGUAACGAAGGUGUUGACUUAACCGAGCAUCAUGGUUGGUCGAGUCCCUCGAGGCCAUGGUGAUUCGGAGGCCGAACAGGACGGGAAUCACAAAGAGUUGUGAUCGGCAAGAGUUGCCUACCUUUUAGGCUUAGUGUGAUUGGUCGAGUCCCUCGAGGUUACACUAAGACGCUGAUUGGAUCUUGAUCCCCACUAGAAUCUGCCGGAGACUUCCGUUUCACGUGCUGAGGGUGUCGCGUGACUCGUUAGUAAAAUAGUGGGAGCAUAUUAAGAUAGAAGUUCAUAUCUUGAUAGUUUAUUUCUUGCAAAAUCUGCAUGUUAUUCAUUUCUGCUACAUCUUUAUUUUCAGAAAAUGUCGCUUUCAAAUCCCUUACGUGACAUACUUGAUGUCAACCGCCUCACUGGUCCAAAUUAUACGGAUUGGCUCCGUAACUUGAGAAUUGUUCUCACAGCGGAGAAAAUCGUGUACGUCCUUGAUACAGUGAUGUCUGCGCCCG